Molecule: long non-coding RNA, 707 nt
Organism: Homo sapiens (human)
Lineage: Eukaryota; Metazoa; Chordata; Mammalia; Primates; Hominidae
Gene: CCDST
Product: cervical cancer associated DHX9 suppressive transcript
Source: Ensembl
AUCAGUCUACGCAAAUGUGUUUGGGUGCAAUGUACCUGGCAAUUUCAUGGGGCAGUCGGGAGGACAGUGUGGCUGAAGCACAGUGAGUGAGAGGAAAACAGCAAUGAAGUGAAUGCAACUGAUGCCUCCUCAAAAGUUUGCUACCUGCCAAGACUUUCAAGCAUGAAAAUAUCUUUAUUUUUCCCUUUUAAAAUUGAUGGGUAGGCCAUAUGGGAGAGAGGGAAAUACUGACAAAGAGGGCACCUCAAGAAAAGCAUGCCUAUAAAAAUAAUGUGACAAACAAUGAAACAACACACAAACAGUUUGACAGAUAAGAGAGCAAAGGAUCACCACACGCCCGUGAUUCUAGAGCAAGUGGUGACUUUAGUGUGUGGCUGUGCUCAUGCAUAUGGACCUUACACAACUGCAAUCAGCAUCUGCAUACCUACACCCAGUAACCUGCUUUCUCUACCUAAUAUGAUAUAAUGAGCAUUUUUCUAUAUUGCUACAUAGUCUUUAUAAUUACUUUAAAUGACUGUAUAAUAUUCCAUUCAUUAUAUCACUGCUGAAUAUUUAGGUUGCUUGUAGUUUUUCCUUUGCUCAUUUUUAUGAAUUAACAAAUGUAAAGUAUUUCACCCACUACCUUCAAAUUAUAUAUACUUGGUCGGCACUUUAUUUCCUUCCCGUUCUGCCCCUUUAUAUAAAUAAAGAAAAGUAUGAAAGAUUCA